AGGCUUCGGCCGACUGAAUAAUGGAAUAGUGGCGGACGGGUGAGUAACGCGUGAGUAACCUGCCCUGUACAGGGGGAUAACAGUUAGAAAUGACUGCUAACACCGCAUAAGCGCACGGGAUCGCAUGAUCCUGUGUGAAAAACUCCGGUGGUACAGGAUGGACCCGCGUCUGAUUAGCUGGUUGGUGAGGUAACGGCCCACCAAGGCAACGAUCAGUAGCCGGCCUGAGAGGGUGAACGGCCACAUUGGGACUGAGACACGGCCCAGACUCC
RNAcentral lists this ribosomal RNA (272 nucleotides) under uncultured Eubacteriales bacterium. Its description in RNAcentral is "uncultured Clostridiales bacterium partial 16S ribosomal RNA". It matches the Rfam family "Bacterial small subunit ribosomal RNA", at positions 75 to 339 of the family's 1533-position model. Lineage: Bacteria; Bacillati; Bacillota; Clostridia; Eubacteriales. The record is from RNAcentral.